CCAACACAAGCAAAGCCAGAAAAUAGGUUCCACAAGCCAUCACAGUGAGAUAAGGAGGAACGGAAGUCUGACAGCAGCUGAUACCAAUAUCGCAGGAAGCAGAGUUUUGAUGAUCACAAACUUACCUGCAGCCACCAACCACAAACUCUGCUUCCAUCCCGGCAAGGAAGCCGCAGCUAACUGCAGUGAAUCUGUUUUUUUCUAGAGAGUAAACGAAAGGGCUCCCCGUCAAAUCCACCAUUUUGCUACUUCCAUUAUUUCCGUUGCAGAAGAAGGUAACGGGGCUGUUCACCUGAAGCGUGCCUCCAAUAGCCUGAUGCAGGCCUCCAGUAGAAAUAUUCAGCACCUCCAGUUGGGCUCGCUUCAAAACAGGCUUGUAAUGAGGAGCAGAGCUGGUAGUUUUAGAAGACUGGUUGCUGCACUCGAUUUCAAACCAGUCGUCUAAGUAAAGAGAAUAUCACUCCGGUUCAUCCCAGGAAAUCAGUUGAUUUCCCCAAAUCAGACUUGACAGAUUCUUCCUCCCAAGAUCAACGACAUAUUAGCUAGAAUUGAUUCAUAACAUAUAUGAGAUUAUUGUACUUACCAUGUAUUGCUUAUUUCUGUAAAUAGACUUGAGAAAGUCUACUCUCUGUACAUUAUAUACGGCUGCAAUACAGAGACCAAAUACACUGGUUGAUUCAAUUA
Long non-coding RNA from Prunus persica (peach), 684 nucleotides. RefSeq lists it as uncharacterized. The record is from RefSeq and is a predicted model, not a curated record. The transcript has 2 exons. Lineage: Eukaryota; Viridiplantae; Streptophyta; Magnoliopsida; Rosales; Rosaceae.